UGCCCCUGCAAAAUCUCGUAGAAGAACUAGAGGUGCAAUGCAAUAUUUGUGAAAUUGUAUAUGAGCAUAAAAAUUGAGGCAAUAAAGGGGUACGGAUUCAUUGAUGAGGCAUUUAAGAGAAAGGCACGCAAGAGAGUUAAGUAUUGCACAAAGUGGUGAGGCUGUUGGUGGCCAGCACAAACUAGAUGGAACCCAACAAUCGGUCAAUUAGUUAAUAAUUAUAAUAAAAUGAAGAACCGGAA
This 242-nucleotide long non-coding RNA is filed under the name Capsicum annuum. RNAcentral's name for it is "long non-coding RNA (CANN_LNC017531)". Lineage: Eukaryota; Viridiplantae; Streptophyta; Magnoliopsida; Solanales; Solanaceae. The record is from RNAcentral.